GCUAGACAUGCCCUCUGGCAGCACCUCCUUCCUCCCCACAUACAUUUGCUUUCUAAUUUUGGAAAAUAAUCUCAUGAACCCCAAACCCAAUCUUAGAGACACUGCCACAUAAAACCCCCACACGCAUGCAUGCAUGCACCCACAGUCGCCUCCCUGGGGGCCUUGCACACCCUGACUGAGAGGGCAGCCAGCCCUGCUUCUGGCAGGGAAGAUGGAGAGAGGGACAAGGAGAGGAAAAGGAAAAGGGAGAAUCAGGCAGACAGAAGUAGGGCAGAAGCUGGGUUCAGAGCCUUGGCCAUGCUAUCACCAGCUUACAGCCGAGAAACAGACAGGCAGAGUGAGGGUACGAGGCUGGGGUCAGAGGUUUUGAAGCCAGACUCAUCCCUGGCCUCCUGACUCAAGGCUCUUUCUGCCACCCAGACAGAAUCAUACCUAGCUGGGCCAUGGCUAUUUAAGGGAGGCCAUUCACCCACUAAUCACAGAUUCUGACCUUCAUGGCUUAGUCUGACCUUCACAGCUUAGUAUGAAAAAAAUGCAGGGAAUGGGGGCAUUUGAGGAGUCCAUGCCGGGACCUCCAAACACUGCAUCUCUGAGAUCAAUAUAGACCUUCUGGAAAGGCCCUGGUUAUUUACAAGCUUCUGCUCACACCUAGUGCCCAAUUCGUCACAUUCUCACUAAACACAACCUCAGCACCAUGGGGGGACAGGGAAGGGUCUGUUCUCCCUGCACAUAGAAGCGGCCAGGCACCCAGCUUACCCUGAAUCUGGAAACUUCUGCACUCAGAAUCCUGGAUUCCAUUCCCCAGUCAACUGCAGGUCCCAGGUAAGGAAACCCAUUCCAGUUCUCUGAGUUUGGGAAGAAAGGGCAGGCCCACUCAUCGGUGAUGCUGGAGCUCCAGCUGAAGAACCCACCAGCCCUGGAGGAGGGGGGCCUGGGCUGGGCGGACUCUCUGGCAAGAGCAGGUUUCCAUGGAGACAUGAAUCCAGGGCUGGAAGGACCUUCUCAGUUUGCUCUGAGCCACUGCCUGGCUCACACCCUACGUGAGGCUCCUGCCCUCAUCUCCCCCUGGCAUAUUCUCCCCACAUUGGACUGGCAGAUGAUGGCUCACUGUGCAAAGCACUUAGUGACAGGAUCCUUUUAUUCCUCACUCUAACCAACCCAAUGGGCACGAACUCCAUCAAAGGAUGAAGCAGAGUCCCAGAAGAUCAAGUGUUCGCCCAAGUCUCAGAGUUUGGGAAGAAAGGGCAGGCCCACUCAUUGGUGAUGCUGGAGCUCUGGGCGAAGAACCAAAAGUCACCCAGUGAGUUCACGGGGACACACAGCUCCACCUCCAGCAGAGGUUCCUACUCCCCCAGCUGGGACAGCCACUGCAGCACCGCUCUGCUCUCUCGCCUCCCCAGCGGCAGACACCCCAGCCUGUGCCACGGCCACUGCUCAGGAUGGGGAAGGAGGUUUGAUUUGCCCAAGGACCACCAGGGAAUCACUGCAUGGGCUGACCCCAGCUGCAGCCCUCCUGCAUGGCUGCCUGUCACUCCAGCUAAGCAGAGGAGCUGCCGUUACCAGCACCCUUUCCCUUUCUAAUCUGAAGGCAGCCCUGCGGUGAGAGAGUCCCAGCGUCACCCAUCACCCCAGCAGGUCAGGGGCCCUGGAGUCCCCCCUUGAUGAAUGACCUUAGCAGGAAAGAGAAAUCUGCCCCCU
RNAcentral lists this long non-coding RNA (1698 nucleotides) under Homo sapiens (human). Its description in RNAcentral is "non-protein coding lnc-GPR26-8:2". The record is from RNAcentral. Lineage: Eukaryota; Metazoa; Chordata; Mammalia; Primates; Hominidae.